UACCUUUUUUUGACAUAGUUUUUCAUUGGCCUAUAACCUUCGGAAGAUUUUGUUCAAUAUUUGGGUUUGCUUAAAAGUAAAAAAUGUCCUCCACAAUCGAUAACGCGCACUGUCGCCAAAUCACGUUUCGUCCGAAAAAAGCACAUUACGUCAUUGGGGUAAAAGACAUCCAUUCCUGUGUCCAAUGAAGUUGUGCAGCUAUGUGUCGAAACAAUAGUCUAAGAACGCGUAAGACUCUUCUAGGUCUUAAAUUGACCGCAUGAAGCCGCCAGUGGUAGCUGAUAUUGGUCUUCGGUACAUCCUUAAAAAGUGGCCACAUUACGCUUUGUUACUCUCGGGCGACCAGUUCCACGUCUUCUGUUUCCAGUUUCUUCGAGUAAAUUUACGACACGUACUACCGAACUUCUAGGAAGGAUGAUUUGACAAAUAUUAUUGAUGCAAAGCCACUAUUCGAAAUUACGUUUCCCGGCAUUUUCAAACAAAACAUAAACCGAUUUUAGGCGGAUAACCACAAUUUAUUGGUAAUUACCGCGGUUAUCCU
Long non-coding RNA from Anthonomus grandis grandis, 541 nucleotides. RefSeq lists it as uncharacterized. The record is from RefSeq and is a predicted model, not a curated record. The transcript has 3 exons. NCBI's taxonomy places the organism in Eukaryota, Metazoa, Arthropoda, Insecta, Coleoptera, Curculionidae.